Gasterosteus aculeatus aculeatus (three-spined stickleback) is the source of this 9625-nucleotide long non-coding RNA. Lineage: Eukaryota; Metazoa; Chordata; Actinopteri; Perciformes; Gasterosteidae. The record is from Ensembl.
GUUUUUACUCUCAGUGUGUUCUGAGUGACAGUGUGUGUUAUCUCAGUGAGGGUUGUGCAUAGUGUUUGGCUGCACUGAGCCUGUUUUGAGCCAUGUGUUAAGAGUUAUGUUGCUUGGAGUGAGUUUUGCAGGUGAUGUGAACUGUUUAGCUCAGGUGACUGUUGGUAGUGAAGACUGUAGUUAGAGUUUUGCACAUGUAGUUCCAGUUGUGCUCACUGUCGUUUAGCAAUCGAAAAAAACUGUAAUAACCUUCUACUAAACAGCUGAGCAGGCACCCGACCAAUCAGCCUGCCAGAAAACCCAACCAACCACAACAUGGACCAAACUGGCCAGCCGAGCUGAAUCAAUACACUUGCCAAUGAGCAUGCCGGUCAAGGAGACCUGGAACAUGGCGAUUAACAAGCUAGCAGGUUAGCAAACAGGCAAUCCACCCUGAAACCAACGAGGGUGUGUUACAAGAUAAAGAACAAAGACAACAGUAAGUAAACGAGUGAAGAGGUACAGGAGAGUGAAAGUGAGAGAAGAGAGGGAGAGGUGGAUCUAACUAUCAUCCAAAGUCCAAAGAAGUGUCACUCCUUCAAAUCCUAAAUAGUCUCUUCUGUCCUUCGGUUGCAAAAUGACCUCAUACUGUCACGCAAUAAACUAACUCCAAUGUAAAAACAUCAUUGUGAAUGCAACUGUAAAAAACUACUGUCGUCGUAUGAAGAGCCAGAAGAGACAGUGGAGGUUAAACAAGUCAAACAAACAGGACCUUCAUCGUGUAGUGUUUGUGACACCAAACCAUUACUUAUUUGCAUCUGUUGCAUCUGUUGCUCAUUGUUCCAGGUCUUCUCUCAUCUGUUACCCUCCGUCUCUCCUGUCCCUCCGAGUUUCUCUUUUCUAUCUCAAAACAACUUCACAAGCGCUCAUAUUAUGUCUCUAUAUCUUCCUUUAUCCGUCUAUGUAAUACAUCAGCAUCCCAGAAAGAGGCAGCAGAUGCAGCAAAGUAAUUUAUCGAUGCACAGAAUAAAUAUUCCCCCCAUAAACACACCCGUCAUUAGCAUACCGGUGCCGUAUUUCCUUCUUUUCCUUCUUAUUCAAAUCUUACUGGGGCUGCAUGGACAGCAUCUGAAUUGCAAACGUGCACGCGCACACGCAAGUUCCGGCUGUCCCACUCCACCUACGCAACACACUUAUUUGCAUGAAUCAUAGAUAUGCACAUGCAUGUAUGCAUAAAGGGUUCGUUCAGUCAGGAAUACACAUGCAAACACCCAUCAAGUAAUUAGACAACUUUCUUUUUGCAUGAGACAAUCUAGCCUUUCUAAUUGUCUCCUUGGUUAUUGUGCAGAUUUCUCAUUAAACGGAUCGUUCAGUCACGCGACCGGCAUGGACAAACCCAGCUGGCGAUUCAAGGGGGUCGAUGGAUAAACAUCGCAAAGAGUUCGCCUCCAAUGCCGUCUGCUGGUCUCAAUCAGAUUCACAACUAAAAUCCAAUCUCCACUUUGCAAAGGGUCUUUUGUCCCUUAAAUGCCUCGCGGCCAUUAGGGAUUCUGUCCUCAUAACAGGCUUGAUGAACAAUCAAUGCCUGGAGCACCUGUUCUAAAUGACAAUAUGCGUGUGUGUGCAAGUGAAAACUCUGGUUGGCUGUUAGCUGUUUGUCUGCGGGCUCCACCCUCAAUGUGCGACGGGUGCGGAGGUUUGCUUUUUGUCACAUGGUUAAUACUUGAUCUUGAUCCACACUUAAGUGUGCUGACCAGCUUCCUGCCUCUUUGCUUUUUGUGGUUCCAGUUCUAGUCAGAGAUUAGGAAACAGUUUUUUGAGGGUCUCUCUUGAGUACAGCAUACGGCCAAUUUAAAAAGCGGUCUCUAUCAGGUGUCUGUCAUUCCGCUCUCUCAUGUUGAGGAGGGAGCGAUAUUUGAAGUUUUGAGCUGAAAGUCUGACUAUGAGUCUAAAUAUCUCCCGCUCAGAUCUGUGUGAAGAAAAUUGGAAAACCUCCGACGUGAUCUGGCUUUUUUGAAGCGUCGGCAUUGAACGACCUGGACGGAGACGUUCGGCUCGAAGGGGAACCGCCAGCGGCGCUUCCAGCUUUUCUGCAGAAGAAAGAGAUGUUUGACGUAUUUCUGACAGGGUUUGAUGUAGUUUGAUGUAACAAACACCAGCUCAUCUCUGCACACGCUGUAGUCUGUUUACUCUUUACCCACCAGGUCCCGCUCUAAUGAGCUGUGCUCGGCCAUCUGCCCGGUCACAUGCUGGUAAUGCCCCCCCCCUGGGAGACGAACACUGUCUCAGUGGUCCGGCUGAGUAAACAUAUGUGGCUGAUUAGAAUAAGUGUGGUUCCGUUCUCUUGUGUCGCAGUGCAGCGAACUGGGACUGGGCCACAAUUAAUGUUGUUAAGUACACCUGUGUUGGGCCGGCAGUAAGAUGUUAAGAUGUCUACCAUUGACUCCCGUUCUGACGCCUGUCUCACACUUCAGAAGGUUCAACUUGCUGCCAUUGAGCUGACUGUGAUCUCAGUUGACGGUUGUUGACAGUUGAACACGCGGCUUCAGAACAUCCCACCAUUCCACCGCAAACAUCAUCCUCCCCUUCGCGUGCUUCUUACCUGGUGGGAACCGAGACAGAAAAGGUGCGUCUCCAUCUCCAGGUCCACAUCCUUCAGGGAUGCGCUGAGAUUCAUCCGUGUCCAGGAGCGCUAGCAGAGGUCGCCAGCAGAUGAGGCCCCCGGGUCCCCGAAGAGGAAGUUGACUAGGGGGGUUAAACGGAUAAUAUUUCUGUCCUCGUCUCUUCACCUUUCCCAGCAGACCUGCCUCGACGCCGCGGAGCCUCGUCCGCCCGACGCAAAAGACCUCUGCUCCACUUUUUCGAGAGUAGAUAUCAUUCAGAAUAAAUAAGUGGCUCAUUGGUAAAUCUCUGAGAUGACGCGACGAAGCUUCAUUCCCAAGUAGCCGUCCAAUAGAAGACCUUCUUCCAGUUAUUCGCACGCAGACUUCGUUUCUUUGGUUCUCUCCUUCACGCGGCGCUCGUCUCUGUGGCAGCCUGUCGCAGCCGCGUCGCUUUUCAUUCAUUCACCCUCAUUCACUCUACUUCAUGCUUCAUUUCAAUCAUCUGUGGACAUUCACUCACUUAUCCCUCGGUUAAUUUACUCAUUCAAUCAUGGAAUCAGUCUCACUCCAGCCUGUUGGCUCGAUGGCCGACACAUUAACCCAUGCGUUGGUUCACUUCCCGACUCAUUUAGCAGCUCAUCCAUUUCAAUCAGCCUCAGUUCACCCAUUCAUCGUCUGUGCUCUAUGCGUUUAGUCCUUCCACCUCGGUCACUGUCAUUCAUUCGCUCAUUCACUGGAGAUCUUGUUGAGCGGCUGUCAAAUCGCUGGAUGUGAGACAGUGAUUCUGCUCCGUUAACCCACUCGGACGGCUAAACAGACUGCAGAGCGAAGCCCCGUCAGUUACCAUGUAUCCAUGUGCACUAAGCGUGUGUGCCUGUGUGUGUGUGUGUGUGUGUGUGUGUGUUUAGCAGUACGCGAGCAGUGUACCAACAGCAGCUUGCCUCGUCUUUUGUCCGGGACGAGCUAAUGAAGAAAAUGGAGCGAACCGAGACUCGCUUCUGGAAGUUUACACAGAGAGACAGAAUUAUUCCGCCAUCGCCGGCUCUCGUGGAGCCACGUUUCUCUCCUCCGCGUUGCUCCGGGGAGUCGGGAAAUAUCCACGCAGGAGCUUCAGGAACAUGCUCGGCCUUCAGAAUAACAAUAGUGCGGAGAUGAAUUUGUGUGGUAAUAAUAUUCCAGUGUUGACAAUAACUUCCAUACUGGCAGACGUGUUCGCAUUUUGAAAUGAGGGCAAUCGCAUUUUAUUUUUGGAUAUAAAUGCAGUAAUUUAAGAACGUAAUUAAAGUCACUGUUCCCCCCCUCCUUCCUCUUUGCUUUCAUUAUCUUUUUCUCUCUACAUCUUCACCCUCCUCCUCUUCCUCCCUCUCUCCUCCACCUCUGAUUGGCAUCUGUCUUUUCGGAGUUUUUUCUUCUGUCCUUCUGUCCUCGACCUUCUUUCUGCUCACCCCCCCCCUUAAAGACGCCCCCCUGUAUUUCUCCUCCUUUGCCCCCCCCCCCCCCCCGACUCCUCCCUCUUGACCUUCUUUACCUCCUAUCUGUGUUUUCCUCAUCUCCCCGGUUGACAUCUCAUCCUCCCCUCCAUCUUUUCCGUCCCCCCUCCCCUCCUGGAUGACGGACCAUCUGGCCUCAGGCAGCCAUCUUUGAACGCUUCGUCACGGGACGCUGCUGAGGCGUCAGCAGCGAUUGGCUGAGAGGGCCCCCAGAAUUUUGGCUGUUCCCGCCUGAGAGACGAGACGAGGUACCGAGGCGCUCAACUCGGCAGAACGAGCCCGGAAACAGACGGACGGGCGGCGUUUCCGCGGUUCUCUGCUCCGCUGACUGACGUUCACGCGCUUUGGUUCGGAUUUAAGGGAAAUGAAACGACUUAAAUCCACAUGUUUUCAUCUGCGGAGAAGAGAGGACGGCUUUCGUGCAUUGUGGCUUUGUGGAACAGCAUCGGGUGCAGUAUGGAACAAAAACAAUUAGCAAACUGAAAACACAUGGAGUGAAAUGAGACUCGUUUGUGUGGACAUGCGAAGGACAUCUGCUCCGGCCUCGUCGCAGACAUCUGAAGCCACAGCCGAUCAGAUGUUCGGCUCCCUGAUGGCUCUUCUCCCGGUUUGAGAAACAAAUCACAGCUUUGUUGCAUGUCGGUUGGAUUAAACAACAUAACGUCGGAAAAGGGAAAAUAAUAAUACCGUGCGAGGACGAGAUCCAAGCAGCUACAGAGAUACGAUGCACGUUAUCGACCACAGGGGGACAUUUAGCUGAGGCAGUGCCGACGUCUCCUCAUACAACAGAUACAUUUUACAACACAUUUUACAAGCAAAAUAAACCCCUUAACUUCUCAGGAAACUCUUCUCUCUCGCUGCUUGGGGUAAAAUAACGGCGAGCAGCUACUGAGGUAUGCGUGUUGUGCUGGAUGGGGGCUGGUCCUCCAGCGAGAUAUAAUAUGAAUGUAUCCAUCAGGCUCACAGCGGUGAGCUCGCACAUCUUGUGGCUACCUGGGGCUUCCCCGCCAACACCGAACCUGCAGGUGAACCAACACAGUCCUUUUUCUUCUUCUGCUGCUUCGGCUGAAAGGAGUGAACUGAAAGUGACCCCCCCCCCCCCGCCCUCCUCACCCCCCCGACAGCCUCUGAGAGCAGCUGGCAAUGAUGGAGGGAAGGAUGAAGGAGAUAACAACUCUUCUAAUUAAGGACAAUGGCCCUCUGGAGAUGGGCACUGAUAUCUCUGGCUGUACUUUGUUCCCGAGCAUGUAGCCAAUCAGGGACACACGUUAACAACGACUGCGGGCGAAAUUCCCCUUCAAAGUUCACCACACGUCUGUGGAUGUAAAGAUGAGGGAGGAAACGGUUUUGAGUUAUUUUCGGGAGCUUGCUGCCAGCUUUGUCAUAAAAGAUUUUGCGUAACACCCAAUAUUUCCGUAACAUUUAUUAUUUCAUAACGGCCUUAAUGCAGAACCACUGUCUGCAGUCAGCCAAAACACAAGACGUGUCACGUCUUUGUUAGCCGAAACGAAAAACAUGCAACUGUGCAAUAGCAACACGCAACGGCAACGACCACAAGAAAUGUCCGUGUUUAGGCGGAAUACAUUCGCCAACAUCUGACGAGGGGACGAGGGGAGUAAAUGCAGCGGACUUUGAGAGAGGAAAACCGCACACGUCCGGCUCCGCAGCCAGAACCGCCGGACCGAACGUUAAGCUAACCGGGCUUGGACCUGAGGCCUCUCACCGCUACCCAGCAUGCUCCUGGAGGUCCGCUGUCCGGGCGCAGCAGCAAUAAGAUGGUUGAAAUAAGACUUCAGUCGAACCGUAAACCGUCAACCUCUACCUGCACGCAAACGUUUUAUUCUUCUCUUAGUUGUAAACAAACCCAAUGUGCUCCUGAACCAGAGGGCGUCCCUCCACAAAACACACUCUGACUCAACACAAUGCGUCAUUAAAACACGUCAUAUAUGUGUCAUGCGCAACAAUCUCUUCACCUUCACCACAACGAGUCUUUCCUCCAAUAUUUUUUACAUCUCUCCUUUAUUCAUAAAUCACUUCCUUGCCUUCGCUCCUCCUCCCUGGAGGAUCUUUUUCAGGAAUAUGCUGCCAGAAGACAAAUUAUAUAAAUAGACACGUGGCUGAAUCUUAUUUUAAGCGUUAUGUAAAGCAUGAUGAAUUGCCUGAUGUGCGAUAUAUCAAUAAACUUCCCCUCUGUCCACUUCCCUCCGUCUGUUAACUCCGUCUCGGCCUUUGUGAUCACAGAAACGAGUGGAGCACAUUACGUCCCUCCCCGUCAUCCCCACAGCGUCCAUCAGAUGUCCACACGUCUCAUUUCAGUCUUGUAUUGUGGGUUUAUGUCCACGAGCUGCGUGUCUCUGUGCGUACAGGAAAACGUGGAGUCAGUCUCGUACUUUCUUUGAAAAAAAGCACCGUAUUUACAUGUAACUACACUGACCUCAUUUCACUUCCAAAGGGGGAGAACGGAGGGAUGAAAGUGGAGCAGAGAGAGAGAGAGGGGGGGAGAGAGGGAGGCAAUAAAUCAUCCUCCACCUUCUGAGCUUUGCUUCUUGUUGUUGCUCUCCCCCAUUGUGAUGAAUCGCCCUUCUCUGGCAAAAGAAAGUAUAAAACAAGAAAAUGAAAGUAAUAAAAUGAGCGAAUGAAAGCGAAGGCCAUUUCACCCCCCGCUGCCUGGUCGUGCAGGACAGGGGGUCUCUCUGGGGGAUGAUGGGGGGGGGGGACGAGUGAGAGAACAGAGGGACGUGUUCUGCUCUUCCCGGAAGGACUUCAUGAGGCGUGAAGAGUUUUCGGAGAAGUUUCAUGGCCGCGGUUGUUCAUCACUCGCUUUCAAAGGUCCAUCCUUUCAUUUUCGUCUCCUUUUCAGCUUUAUAUUCUCCUCCUCUCAAUGCAGGAUGCCACACGGACACAUCUUAGUCCCUCUAACCAGAGAGACACGUUUCUCCUCAACCUGUUUUCAUAAUGGAGAUUAAGAAUAGAUCGCAUCUGAGUUUUUUUUGUGUCUGACCUUGACCUUUGACCUUGAGCUACCCACGCGGAGGUGGACGGGAAGGGAUUCCCCCGACGUGUUCCUGAGAUAUCUGGUUAAACAUAAAACAUAAAAGGCAACAUGCACAAACCACUGUGAGACCAGUGUGUCCCAAGAGAAACAAAAAUUCACAAAUCACUAACAAGCAGAGUUAUUUUGUGAACACGUUUCAUCCCGAUUAACGAGUAAAACCCACCUUUGUUUUGGCGAACCUGAGCUGGAAGUUUAUUUUGAAAAAACACACUCUCGACUCUUUCUGAAGGUAACAAACACUCAUCAUCUUGCUCUGCUCUACUCUCCACUUCCACCUGAGGACAUUGACAUGAACGAUCCCCGAGAGGCGGAAUAUUCUCUCCCGAAUGCAAAACCUGUAUUAUUGAACCUGAUUGGAGCCUUUGAGGCACAGACGUCCUCCGAGGCGCCGUAAUGUGAUUAGAUCGAGGCUUUGCUCUCAGUCAGCUCGCCGCUUUUUUAAUCAAAGUCGAGAUUACGAGCUUUUUAGAUGGCAUCAAAUGUGCCACGCUCGCUAACGGGAUAAUGGGGGUAAUAGCAGGCUUAAGGCAUCCCAAUUUCAAAUGGUAAUAUAACGGUACAGUGGGAACAAAACCGCACUUCAGGUGCAAAUGAGUCGGAGAGAAAAACUCGCUCGGGCUGAAAUAUCAAAGCAGCUCCGAGAAGAAGGAACCGUCUCGUGAAAAUGUUCUUGUUCUUCAACUUGGUCACUACGUGUGAGGAAAGUUAAAGGGGCACCAAGUUGAAUCCGAGUUCACAGUUCUAGUCCAAUAGUAGAACCCAAAUGCUCAUAAUUACAGCUCUUUUUGACGCUGAGUUGCCGGCUGCAGAUUUAAAGAAGCGUCUCCACCAAAGAGAAUGUGAGUACAUGUUGACCUCCGUCCUUUCUGUCUUUGUUUUUCUUCUUUGACUGUGAACUUGUCCCCGGGUCGAGUAGGUCUCCUACUGACUGUCCAUUCGCAUUUAAAAUGAAUUAUAUCUAAAUGUGGAAAUUCACUUUAUGACUGCCUUUCCUCUGUUAUUUAUGUACAUCUUAUUUGUCGUUCUAUGUCUCUAAACCCCAAAAAGUUUUGCUGGUCUUGAAGCAAAAACUAGAGAAAUAAGAUGGACCCUCAACGAAUGGUCACUCAGAACCGGUUGGUGAUGCCGGUCCAGAUUAAUUCAGUUGAUCUAGAAAAACGAGGGAGAGCACAGAAGUGGAUUCUGAAAGAAAAAAUAAUUCUAUAAUAAAUUGAAAAAUUGGAAAAAUUGUCAAAACUGUGAUCAUUGAGACUGAGAGGAUUCAAGGCGACUAACACCUGCACAAUAAUUGUAUUCUGUAGUAAUGUCUCACUUGAGAAAGAAAACGUCAAAGAAGGAAAAAUAACAAAAAGCAAAAGAGAGAAAAACACAAUGGGAAAAGCCGAUGAUGAAGGAGGAGAACCUGGAGGUCGGAGAGAAUAAAGAUUUGUUUACCUCCUCCGGGCCUUAAUGCGAGGAGGCUGGAGAACAGCCGCUGGUGAGCUCAGGUGAACGCACGCCACGGGGGAAAUAACACUCGCCUAAAUCAUGGAAAAGACAGAGGAGAGGAGGGAGUGAGGGAUGGAGAGAAAGAAGAAAGAGGGAAAGGAAGUGAGAGCAAACAAACAGGAUUUUCCACGAGAAACGAGGGAAAACGUUGAAUUAUACAGAGAAAAGUCGGGAGAAAAAUAAAAAAUUGAGUGAGGAAGAGAAAAAAAGAAAAAGGAGAACAAUGCAGGAGGUGAGUAAGAGAAUAACAAGGGGAAAAAAGGAAAACAAGGACCAUCAAAAGAUGCAGAGACACAAAGACACAGAGAUGAAUCCCAAAGUAAGCAGAGAAAGGCAAAGACGCAGAGAAGCCGAAAACAACGAAGGAAGCGAGUAUCGCUGUGUGAGGAGGGAGAGGCGGUGCAGACUCAGACUGGUGGAGUCUGCAGGGUGCACAGGCCUUUGUUAACGAUGGUGUUGAUUAACAGCGAGUGUGUGACGUGCCGAUGCAGCAGCUGUCAUGGACGUUUAUCGCCUUUCUCUCCUCACGUUCCUGCUCAUUUAUCUGUUUCGCUUCUUGCAAUCGUGAUUUGCAAACUGCUGAGGCGCUUUGCCCUGGAGAGUCCAGCAGAAGAACCCAGAGGCCUUGAGGUACGACCUCCGACCCUCGGCUAUGCAUUUGGGAGGGCGGAGCGUUGGGAGGGCGGAGUGAUUGGGAGGGCGGAGCGUUGGGAGGGCGGAGUGAUUGGGAAGGUGGUGCGUUGGGAGGGCGGAGCGUUUGGGAAGCCGGAGCGUUGGGAGGGUGCAGCGUUGGGAGGGCGGAGCGUUUGGAAAGGCAGAGCGUUGAGAGGGCGGAGUGUUUGGAAAGGCAGAGCGUUGAGAGGGCGGAGUGUUUGGAAAGGCAGAGCGUUGAGAGGGCGGAGUGUUUGGGAGGGCAGAGUGUUUGGGAAGGCGGUGCGUUGGGAGGGCGGAGUGAUUGGGAGGGCGGUGCGUUGGGAGGGCGGAGUGAUUGGGAGGGCGGAGCGUUGGGA